UACGAAGGGGGCUAGCGUUGUUCGGAAUUACUGGGCGUAAAGGGCGCGUAGGCGGACGCGUAAGUCAGGGGUGAAAUCCCGGGGCUCAACCUCGGAAUUGCCUUUGAGACUGCGUAUCUUGAGGACGGGAGAGGGUCGUGGAAUUCCCAGUGUAGAGGUGAAAUUCGUAGAUAUUGGGAAGAACACCGGUGGCGAAGGCGGCGACCUGGACCGUAUCUGACGCUGAGGCGCGAAAGCUAGGGGAGCAAACGGG
Molecule: ribosomal RNA, 253 nt
Filed under: uncultured bacterium
Lineage: Bacteria
Description: partial 16S ribosomal RNA
Rfam family: Bacterial small subunit ribosomal RNA
Source: RNAcentral